Molecule: long non-coding RNA, 230 nt
Filed under: Gossypium barbadense (sea-island cotton)
Lineage: Eukaryota; Viridiplantae; Streptophyta; Magnoliopsida; Malvales; Malvaceae
Description: long non-coding RNA (GBAR_LNC018564)
Source: RNAcentral
AUUACUUCAUCAAAUGGAUAGAGGCUACUGCAUGCGUCAAUGUCAUCAUAUGCCGAUGGUAUUGGAAAAAGCAUUGAACUUGAGUGAUAACAUGAUAGCUGAGAACUAUAAUCAAUUCAAAAUCAGACACCACGGUUUGUCACUGUAUUGCAAGACAAUGAAUUGCAAAAAAUGACCGAGACUUAUAAGGACUGGCAUGAGAAAUCACCAUUUGCCCUCAUUGCUUGCCG